GUCUGUUUCUUUAAUAAGAGGGAUGGAGUAGCGCUGCGAGCAGGACGCACGCUCCCCUGCCCCUGUGGCUUCAGUGCCGUGGCGCACACCGAUAGGCCGGCACUCAGGCAGAGCCAGGAAGAUCGCGGAGUUCGACGCCAGCCUGGGCUACGCGACUACAGUGGGUUCGAGCCCAGCCUGGGCGACAUAGUAACCUGCUUCAAAAACAAACGAGUUAUUGCAGCUGUGGAGUUCCGGAUAAUACAGGAAAACCCAAAUCCUCCCAGAUGGACCAUAUCCCUCCCAUUGCGAGGAUCCAGAGAUGCAGAGAAGUCAAGAAACUCGGCCAGUAGCAGGACAGUCACGCCAGGUCAGUAACAGAG
This 362-nucleotide long non-coding RNA is filed under the name Fukomys damarensis (Damara mole-rat). RNAcentral describes it as "lncRNA (ENSFDAG00000024926.1)". Lineage: Eukaryota; Metazoa; Chordata; Mammalia; Rodentia; Bathyergidae. The record is from RNAcentral.